CCCCUCUCAGAGUUGCACCUGGAGAGUUUUCAGUACUCUACCAGUCUCGGCUAUAGGAGGGAAAGUCAAGCAGAGGCAUAUCUAUUCCAUUCCUAGCUUGGGGCAGUGGCUAGCAAGUGGAAGACCAUCUGCUACAAGA
Molecule: small nucleolar RNA, 139 nt
Organism: Tachyglossus aculeatus (Australian echidna)
Lineage: Eukaryota; Metazoa; Chordata; Mammalia; Monotremata; Tachyglossidae
Source: RefSeq, a predicted model, not a curated record